UCAACUCCGCCACACCUGCCGCAGACGAGCUCAGGAGGAGGAGCGGAGUAGGCUCCCGUGAUGAUUUGCUGGCGCGAGUCGGAGCAAAAAAGAAUUGGGAUUCUUCCAUGCUCCAUACUGCGCCAUUGUCUAAAGAACCAACAUAAAUGGGAACGCCACAGAUGCACAACCAAAGGUGCUACUCCCUCGAUGGUGUAGCUGCAAUGAACAUGUUUGAUAGAAUGCCUCACAGGUGCUAACGUCCAUUUUUUUUUGGUUGCUCUUUUCCUCUAUUCCUGUUGUAGUUAAACUACUUAUCUCUAGGCUAAAUAGGCACACGAGUAUAGCUGCAGCUGGCAAGAUGAAUGGUCUGCUUGCUGCAAAAAGAGUGGAAUUAAUAUCACCGGGGAAAUAGUGUUUCUGAGAGCAGCAGCAGCGUGCCCAUGUUGUACUUGUGUGACGUCUCUAUCUCUCUGCCUUUUCUUUCAUUUCUUUUAAGUCAUGUGUUAGGCAUCAUUUACUUGCUGUGGAUUAGAAUUUUGUGAUGGAUAUGCGAGGGCUUUGAUUUUGUGUGCGACAGGUGUAUGUACAGUUUAAUGUUGUUCUGAAGAACAGUGAUUUAUAGUUCUGCCCGAGAAUUUGAUAACGUAAUGACACAAUGGUAAGAACUAAUGUUUCACAAUUAUAUCAUAUACUAUGCUCGAGCUUGUGCUUCGAUACAUUAGAUUUUUCUAAUGCUGGCCAUUUCAUUGAUAUUUUGUUGUACCAUUUGUGUGUGCAUUCUGUAGCUUCACUACCUUCCUGCUAUGUUUUUUCAUACAAAGUGUUGAUGCAUUUGUUGUACUCUAUUGCAGGACAAGUUCAGGCAGAAAGAAUGUUUCUCGAAGUUUGGAAUUCCGUUUACCUGACUUUGUUCAGGUUCUAUAAUUGUGGUGUCAUUAUCUGUGGGUCUUUUGAGGUAACUCCACCAUUCAUUUAAGUACACUGGGUUUCUCCCUGAAUUUUUUCCAAGAGUUUUUGCCAGAUUGGCCUUAACAGUGAAGAUCCAAACAAGUGAGUUAAAACACACAGUUAUGUAACUCUGUGUUAUUAUUUCUUUCACUUUAAAGUUUAAUUUUUUUACUCUCAGCAAGAUAAAAAUGGAGCCUUAAGCAAGACUCAUUUCAAAAAUUUCAACAAUACAUUUCUGAAUUUUUAACGACUCAUCAAUAUUUUCAAGAACAUAUUCAUGGCAAUAUCACCAACCUAUAUAUGUUAUAAUAACAUUUGAGAUUCAGUGGACCACUUGAAUACAAAUUCGUCAAGUCUGUCUUCCGAAGUUGCGAUUGGCUACAGGAGAGCAAAUUUGGCUCCCGAAGGAUCAACAAGUAGAGGACCAAUCCUUUUAAUGCCAGUGUUGUUGCGAGACUGGUACGACUAAACUGAGAAGUGCUUUUAGUUCUGUUGCUAGACUGGCAUGGCUAAACUGAGAAGUGCUUUUGUUGAUAGUUGGAUCCUUUCAAAGCAGGUGGUUGAUUUUAGUUCCUUUCGUAUUUUUUAAAGAUGAAAUUCAGGUUGUAAAGACAUAUACUCUAUUUGAAUCAACACACAGACUGUUGAUUUUUUCCA
This is a long non-coding RNA of Lolium rigidum, 1587 nucleotides long. RefSeq lists it as uncharacterized. The record is from RefSeq and is a predicted model, not a curated record. NCBI's taxonomy places the organism in Eukaryota, Viridiplantae, Streptophyta, Magnoliopsida, Poales, Poaceae. The transcript is spliced from 3 exons.